This 497-nucleotide ribosomal RNA is filed under the name uncultured bacterium. RNAcentral's name for it is "partial 16S ribosomal RNA". It matches the Rfam family "Bacterial small subunit ribosomal RNA", at positions 28 to 507 of the family's 1533-position model. The record is from RNAcentral.
GAUGAACGCUGGCGGCGUGCCUAAUACAUGCAAGUCGAGCGAACAGACGAGGAGCUUGCUCCUCUGACGUUAGCGGCGGACGGGUGAGAAACACGUGGAUAACCUACCUAUAAGACUGGGAUAACUUCGGGAAACCGGAGCUAAUACCGGAUAAUAUAUUGAACCGCAUGGUUCAAUAGUGAAAGACGGUUUUGCUGUGCCUUAUAGAUGGAUCCGCGCCGCAUUAGCUAGUUGGUAAGGUAACGGCUUACCAAGGCAACGAUGCGUAGCCGACCUGAGAGGGUGAUCGGCCACCCUGGAACUGAGACACGGUCCAGACUCCUACGGGAGGCAGCAGUAGGGAAUCUUCCGCAAUGGGCGAAAGCUUGACGGAGCAACGCCGCGUGAGUGAUGAAGGUCUUCGGAUCGUAAAACUCUGUUAUUAGGGAAGAACAAAUGUGUAAGUAACUAUGCACGUCUUGACGGUACCUAAUCAGAAAGCCACGGCUAACUACGUG